Meriones unguiculatus (Mongolian gerbil) is the source of this 908-nucleotide long non-coding RNA. RefSeq lists it as uncharacterized. Lineage: Eukaryota; Metazoa; Chordata; Mammalia; Rodentia; Muridae. The record is from RefSeq and is a predicted model, not a curated record. The transcript is spliced from 3 exons.
GGCCCUAGCUGAAUCCACCUCGGACUCCAGAUUGUCGAGGAGGAAGUUACCUAAUCUUAUCCGAGUUCGUUGCUUAUACUUCCGACCUGGGUCCAGUUUCAGAGGACGACCGCAGGCUUCACUCCCUUAGAAUCCUCAACUCAGGCUCCACUGCUUUCUUUAGCCUGUACUGUGAGGACGAGUUGAUCCUCCUGUGCAGUGCUGGCCAGGGGCUGCUCCUGUGAAGGUUAUGGCAUUUAUUCAGCAGGAGGUCUCUUCAGAAUUAAUCAGGGGAAGUACCAGCUAACGAUCUGGAAAGGCCCUUGGGAACACCCUGCCCUGUGAACUCUACACAAGUGUCACUUAGGGUAGGGACUGCGGCUCAGUGACAGAGCACUUGCCUAGCAUGUGAGAAGCCCUAGGCUGCAUCUCAGAGAACGUCGCGACAUGGGCCGGGGCCUCUCCAGGUGGUGGUCCCUGUCCAGGAUGUCCCCCAGUACACCGUGCAAACACUCCUUACCCCAUCAAGGCCCUGCAUGGCCAUUUAAAAAGAAUUCCACAGCCGGUAAGCUGGCGCAUGCCUGUGAUCCCAGCACUCGAGAAGCUCCCCCUUCUCUGCAAAUUACUGCCGGGAAAGCUUCAGAAAGCUUCGUGGGACCCUCUGGACUUCUGAGGGGCAUGAAGGGGUGAGACCAACCACAGGUUUGAAGAGGCUGGAGAGAUGGUGCAGCCAAUAAGAGCACUUGUUCUUGCAGAAGACCCACGUUUGAUUCCCAGCAACCAUAUGGUGGCUCACAACCGUCCAUAAUUCUAGCUCCAGAGGACCCAAUGCCCUCUUCUGGUUUCUAGGGCACCACAAGCAUAUGGUGUACAGCCACACAUGCGCACAAAAUGCCCACACACAAAGUAAUAAAUUUAAUUAAAAAAAA